GGACCCGUAGCUCAGUUGGUUAGAGCGCUACCCUGACAUGGUAGAGGUCGUUGGUUCGACUCCAAUCGGGUCCA
RNAcentral lists this transfer RNA (74 nucleotides) under Aneurinibacillus sp. XH2. It matches the Rfam family "tRNA". Rfam says of the family: Transfer RNA (tRNA) molecules are approximately 80 nucleotides in length. The record is from Rfam by way of RNAcentral. Lineage: Bacteria; Bacillati; Bacillota; Bacilli; Caryophanales; Paenibacillaceae.